Molecule: long non-coding RNA, 749 nt
Organism: Ziziphus jujuba (common jujube)
Lineage: Eukaryota; Viridiplantae; Streptophyta; Magnoliopsida; Rosales; Rhamnaceae
Exons: 5
Source: RefSeq, a predicted model, not a curated record
CUUCUUCUUCGAUCUUUCAUCUUCUGCGUUUUUCUUCUUCUGCAUUUUUCUUCUUCUUUUUCUUCGAUCUUCCAGCUUCUUCUUCUGCAUUUUUCUUCUUCGAUCUUCCAGCUUCUUAUUCUUCUUCUCCUUUUGUGUUUUUCUUCUUCGCAUUCUUCGAUCUUCUAGCUUCUUAUUCUUCUUCUUCUUCUUCCUUGUUUUUCACGUGAUUUCUUUACCUACAAAAUUAGGGCUUUAAUUUGUUUUCUUGUGAUUUCCUUAUCUGCAAAAUUAGGGCUUCAAUCUACAAAAUUAGGGCUUUGAUUCAUGAGGAAGAAGUUUUAAUUUCGGAGGCUUAAACCAAAUCUAUAGCAUCGAGUUUGGAAGAGCAAAACAGUAGGCUCAGUAGGGGCCUCAUCCGCACAGCCUGCUCCUACAAAUACACCUACAACUCUGCCCAAUUCAAAUUCUGCUGCACCUGAGACACAUGUUGAAGCACUGCCCCCCUCAAGCACCACAGCUACUUCAAACAAUGCUGAAUUUCAAGUUUCUAAAGACCAAGACCAUGUUUAAUGCAACAAGUUCAAUGCAACAUUCGCCUCCCACUUACACCAUUGCCCACCAGCACCGUUGUUAUUGUUAGUUGCACUUGUUUAUAUAUUUUAUUUUCUUAUAUUGUACACAUUUGAAUCAUUGUUUUAAUUGUGCAAUGUCUAUUAUAUGUAUGUAAUGACAUUAUUAUUUUAUAAAUAAUAUUUACAAUUUGGGUA